Molecule: long non-coding RNA, 304 nt
Filed under: Olea europaea subsp. europaea
Lineage: Eukaryota; Viridiplantae; Streptophyta; Magnoliopsida; Lamiales; Oleaceae
Source: RNAcentral
UAAUAAUAAUAAUAAAACGUUUGUGUUUGUUUGUCUUAGGUCGAUGAAGCAACCGACCAUACCAAAAGAGCCAAAGUUCCAUAUUCCUCAACAUAAGAAGAUCAAGUGUGCGGGAAUGACUUGUGUACACAAUUGCAAUGAAGCUUGAAGUGAGGGGCCAAUCAUAGAAUUGUCGAAUUUGAGUUUUUUUAUUUUCUUUCACCAUUUGUAUUUGAAUCAAUAAGUUUGUAUAAAAUUUGGGAAGGACAGAUCAUAUUGUGUUGCUGGCGCAAUGGAGGGCGAUAUCAAUGAAUUUUUUUGGUAG